Molecule: long non-coding RNA, 592 nt
Filed under: Sinocyclocheilus anshuiensis
Lineage: Eukaryota; Metazoa; Chordata; Actinopteri; Cypriniformes; Cyprinidae
Description: lncRNA (ENSSANG00000036713.1)
Source: RNAcentral
CGACCGGUUUCUGGUUCGAGUACAGCUAAAUAAUUUAGCGCUGAAUGAGGAGCGUCGCUAUCUUAUGAGGCGUGAACAUUAAUGCCCGCGCAUGCUGUGUUCAUUAAGAAAACCAAUUAAUACAGGCAGCUUAAAUCCUGUAAUAGAGGACGUGUUUCUCACCAGUCCGGCCGGAGAUGAGAAAGGCUUGUGUAUUCCGCGCCAUAAUCUUGACAUUCAGGGAACCUUUGUUCUCUGAAUCCAUUGUGAAUUAUGUCAAUCAAAUUUAAACGGUGGCAUUUUGGGCUGGAGCGUUUCGACCACGCGGUCUCCAGGAAUUACUCGCUUGAACAAUUGCAAAUUGAAAUGGAGCUGCACCUGAAAGAAAUAAUGACCCCACAAUUCAGGAGGACAGAACGUGUUGUGCACAGUAUUAAGACCUUCAUAAUUCAUCUCUCAGCCCUUCAAACUCAAGACAAGCAUGAAGUAAUAAUGAAAAAGAAAAGAGCAAGUAGUUGUCAAAGAGCUGAACAUGGAAAAUGCCUUGCCGAGUAAUUUUGGACAUCCGAUACAUGCUCAACCUCGCCAGCAAAAGUACGCAGAAAAACAAACG